UCAUUAAGUUGGGCACUCUAGAGAGACUGCCAGGGAUAACCUGGAGGAAGGUGGGGAUGACGUCAAAUCAUCAUGCCCCUUAUGCUUAGGGCUACACACGUGCUACAAUGGGUAGUACAGAGGGUUGCCAAGCCGUAAGGUGGAGCUAAUCCCUUAAAGCUACUCUCAGUUCGGAUUGUAGGCUGAAACUCGCCUACAUGAAGCUGGAGUUACUAGUAAUCGCAGAUCAGAAUGCUGCGGUGAAUGCGUUCCCGGGUCUUGUAC
This 264-nucleotide ribosomal RNA is filed under the name Clostridioides difficile. Its description in RNAcentral is "partial 16S ribosomal RNA". It matches the Rfam family "Bacterial small subunit ribosomal RNA", at positions 1121 to 1386 of the family's 1533-position model. The record is from RNAcentral. Lineage: Bacteria; Bacillati; Bacillota; Clostridia; Peptostreptococcales; Peptostreptococcaceae.